Molecule: ribosomal RNA, 494 nt
Filed under: uncultured bacterium
Lineage: Bacteria
Description: bacterial SSU rRNA
Rfam family: Bacterial small subunit ribosomal RNA
Source: RNAcentral
AACGAACGCUGGCGGCGUGUCUUAAGCAUGCAAGUCGGGCGGCAAGGAAGUGCUUGCACUUCCCUAGAGCGGCGGACUGGUGAGUAACGCGUGGAUGAUCUGCCUGUGAGAUGGGGAUAGCCAUUAGAAAUAGUGGGUAAUACCGAAUACGCUGGUGCGACUACGAUUGCAUCAGGAAAGGCGCUACGGCGCCGCUCGCAGAUGAGUCCGCGUCCUAUUAGCUAGUUGGUGGGGUAAAGGCCUACCAAGGCGAUGAUAGGUAGCCGGCUGAGAGGGUNUACGGCCACACUGGGACUGAGAUACGGCCCAGACUCCUACGGGAGCAGCAGCUAAGAAUAUUCCGCAAUGGACGAAAGUCUGACGGAGCGACGCCGCGUGGAUGAGGAAGGCCGAAAGGUUGUAAAAUCCUUUUAGUCGGAGAAGAAUAAGUGGGGGAGGAAUGCCCUCAUGAUGACGUUAACCGGCGAAUAAGCCCCGGNUAACUACGUGCCAGC